This 30-nucleotide non-coding RNA is filed under the name Rattus norvegicus (Norway rat). The record is from RNAcentral. Lineage: Eukaryota; Metazoa; Chordata; Mammalia; Rodentia; Muridae.
UCCAGUUUCAAUAUGUGUGCCUUGAAUGCC